This 254-nucleotide ribosomal RNA is filed under the name uncultured bacterium. RNAcentral describes it as "partial small subunit ribosomal RNA". It matches the Rfam family "Bacterial small subunit ribosomal RNA", at positions 26 to 291 of the family's 1533-position model. The record is from RNAcentral.
AGGACGAACGCUGGCGGCGUGCUUAACACAUGCAAGUCACGGGGGCCCGCAAGGGCAACCGGCGAACGGGUGCGUAACACGUGAGCAAUCUGCCGAUCUCUGGGGGAUAGCCGGCCCAACGGCCGGGUAAUACCGCAUACGUUCUCGAGGGGGAGUCCUCUUGAGAAGAAACCUCCGGGGGAGAUCGAGGAGCUCGCGACCUAUCAGCUAGUUGGCGGGGUAACGGCCCACCAAGGCACCGACGGGUAGCUGGU